UCUUCCCUUUUCACUCCUCCUUCUCUCUUGGUCUCUUACUCUCUCUAACGUUUCAAUCCCAGGGAAAAAAAAGUCCACCAACGCCACUGCAACUGCUAGAUCUGUAACCCAUCCACCACCACCAGAUCCGUCUCACUCCCUCUCUGCUAUCUCAAUCCUACCAUGUUACAAAUGUCUUCAAGUACCUCAUAUGGAGGCUCAUAUGGAGGCUUGCAGCACAAUGAUGUUAACUUAAAGGCUAACUAAUGUACUAGUUUCAAAUGAUGUAAUUUUGAGUUUGUAAUAGAUACUACGAUGUAAUUUGAGUUUGCAAUCAUCCAAA
This is a long non-coding RNA of Quercus robur (English oak), 322 nucleotides long. RefSeq lists it as uncharacterized. NCBI's taxonomy places the organism in Eukaryota, Viridiplantae, Streptophyta, Magnoliopsida, Fagales, Fagaceae. The record is from RefSeq and is a predicted model, not a curated record. The transcript has 2 exons.